RNAcentral lists this non-coding RNA (105 nucleotides) under Thermosediminibacter oceani. Its description in RNAcentral is "TPP sequence". It matches the Rfam family "TPP riboswitch aptamer (THI element)". From Rfam's summary of the family: Vitamin B(1) in its active form thiamin pyrophosphate (TPP) is an essential coenzyme that is synthesised by coupling of pyrimidine and thiazole moieties in bacteria. The previously detected thiamin-regulatory element, thi box was extended, resulting in a new, highly conserved RNA secondary structure, the THI element, which is widely distributed in eubacteria and also occurs in some archaea. RNAcentral also lists the same sequence under 1 other name. The record is from RNAcentral. Lineage: Bacteria; Bacillati; Bacillota; Clostridia; Thermosediminibacterales; Thermosediminibacteraceae.
UAAAACUACCGGGGGUGCUGCGAAGAGCGGCUGAGACGGGAAUUUUCCCGAACCCUUGAACCUGUUUGGGUAAUGCCAGCGGAGGGAGGGUAGUUGUUUUUAGGC